AUUGAACGCUGGCGGCAGGCCUAACACAUGCAAGUCGAACGGUAACAGGAAGAAUCUUGCUUCUUUGCUGACGAGUGGCGGACGGGUGAGCAAUGUCUGUGACACUUCCUGAUGGAGGGGGAUAACUACUGGAAACGGUAGCUAAUACCGCAUAACGUCGCAAGACCAAAGAGGGGGACCUUCGGGCCUCUUGCCUUCGGAUGUGCCCAGUUGGGAUUAGCUAGUAGGUGGGGUAACGGCUCACCUAGGCGACGAUCCGUAGCUGGUCUGAGAGGAUGAACAGUCACACUGGAACUGAGACACGGUCCAGACUCCUACGGGAGGCAGCAGUGGGGAAUAUUGGACAAUGGGCGCAAGCCUGAUGCAGCCAUGCCGCGUGUAUGAAGAAGGCCUUCGGGUUGUAAAGUACUUUCAGCGGGGAGGAAGGGAAUAAAGUUAAUACCUUUGCUCAUUGACGUUACCCGCAGAAGAAGCACCGACUAACUUCGUG
This 490-nucleotide ribosomal RNA is filed under the name uncultured bacterium. RNAcentral describes it as "partial 16S ribosomal RNA". It matches the Rfam family "Bacterial small subunit ribosomal RNA", at positions 30 to 507 of the family's 1533-position model. The record is from RNAcentral.